Molecule: long non-coding RNA, 157 nt
Organism: Oreochromis aureus
Lineage: Eukaryota; Metazoa; Chordata; Actinopteri; Cichliformes; Cichlidae
Exons: 3
Source: RefSeq, a predicted model, not a curated record
GGCGAACUCUCAGCAUAGCUGACAAUGCUGAUCAUGAAGAAAUUACUGUAGCUCUGCAUGAAGAGUAUCCGAAGAUGAAGGCCCUAACUGGUGGAUGGCUCUUGUAUAAAGCAGGAGGUGGUAGCGGACAGAGAAAUCUCUCUUUAGUAUCUCAGGG